GUGGGGAAUCUUCCGCAAUGGACGAAAGUCUGACGGAGCAACGCCGCGUGAGUGAAGAAGGUUUUCGGAUCGUAAAGCUCUUUCGUUAGGGACGAACGUGCUCUUUGUGAAUAAUGAGGAGUAAUGACGGUACCUAAAUAAGAAGCCACGGCUAACUACGUGCCAGCAGCCGCGGUAAUACGUAGGUGGCAAGCGUUGUCCGGAAUUAUUGGGCGUAAAGCGCGCGCAGGCGGGAUAUCAAGUCUGGCUUAAAAGUGCGAGGCUCAACCUCGUGAGGGGACAGAAACUGGUAUUCUUGAGUGUCGGAGAGGAAAGUGGAAUUCCAAGUGUAGCGGUGAAAUGCGUAGAGAUUUGGAAGAACACCAGUGGCGAAGGCGACUUUCUGGACGAUGUCUGACGCUGAGGCGCGAAAGCUAGGGGAGCGAACGGGAUUAGAUACCCCGGUAGUCC
This 450-nucleotide ribosomal RNA is filed under the name uncultured bacterium. RNAcentral's name for it is "partial 16S ribosomal RNA". It matches the Rfam family "Bacterial small subunit ribosomal RNA", at positions 354 to 796 of the family's 1533-position model. The record is from RNAcentral.